UUUCAGCGAGUGGCGAACGGGUGAGUAACACGUGGAUAACCUGCCUCAAGGCUGGGGAUAACAUUUGGAAACAGAUGCUAAUACCGAAUAAAACUUAGUAUCGCAUGAUAUCAAGUUAAAAGGCGCUACGGCGUCACCUAGAGAUGGAUCCGCGGUGCAUUAGUUAGUUGGUGGGGUAAAGGCUUACCAAGACGAUGAUGCAUAGCCGAGUUGAGAGACUGAUCGGCCACAUUGGGACUGAGACACGGCCCAAACUCCUACGGGAGGCUGCAGUAGGGAAUCUUCCACAAUGGGCGCAAGCCUGAUGGAGCAACGCCGCGUGUGUGAUGAAGGCUUUCGGGUCGUAAAGCACUGUUGUAUGGGAAGAAAUGCUAAAAUAGGGAAUGAUUUUAGUUUGACGGUACCAUACCAGAAAGGGACGGCUAAAUACGUGCCAGCAGCCGCGGUAAUACGUAUGUCCCGAGCGUUAUCCGGAUUUAUUGGGCGUAAAGCGAGCGCAGACGGUUGAUUAAGUCUGAUGUGAAAGCCCGGAGCUCAACUCCGGAAUGGCAUUGGAAACUGGUUAACUUGAGUGUUGUAGAGGUAAGUGGAACUCCAUGUGUAGCGGUGGAAUGCGUAGAUAUAUGGAAGAACACCAGUGGCGAAGGCGGCUUACUGGACAACAACUGACGUUGAGGCUCGAAAGUGUGGGUAGCAAACAGGAUUAGAUACCCUGGUAGUCCACACCGUAAACGAUGAAUACUAGGUGUUAGGAGGUUUCCGCCUCUUAGUGCCGAAGCUAACGCAUUAAGUAUUCCGCCUGGGGAGUACGACCGCAAGGUUGAAACUCAAAGGAAUUGACGGGGACCCGCACAAGCGGUGGAGCAUGUGGUUUAAUUCGAAGCAACGCGAAGAACCUUACCAGGUCUUGACAUCCUUUGAAGCUUUU
RNAcentral lists this ribosomal RNA (928 nucleotides) under Leuconostoc citreum. Its description in RNAcentral is "bacterial SSU rRNA". It matches the Rfam family "Bacterial small subunit ribosomal RNA", at positions 86 to 1001 of the family's 1533-position model. Lineage: Bacteria; Bacillati; Bacillota; Bacilli; Lactobacillales; Lactobacillaceae. The record is from RNAcentral.